Molecule: ribosomal RNA, 253 nt
Filed under: uncultured bacterium
Lineage: Bacteria
Description: partial 16S ribosomal RNA
Rfam family: Bacterial small subunit ribosomal RNA
Source: RNAcentral
UACGUAGGGUGCGAGCGUUGUCCGGAAUUAUUGGGCGUAAAGAGCUUGUAGGCGGUUUGUCGCGUCUGCUGUGAAAAUCCGGGGCUCAACCCCGGACUUGCAGUGGGUACGGGCAGACUGGAGUGUGGUAGGGGAGACUGGAAUUCCUGGUGUAGCGGUGGAAUGCGCAGAUAUCAGGAGGAACACCGAUGGCGAAGGCAGGUCUCUGGGCCGAUACUGACGCUGAGGAGCGAAAGCGUGGGGAGCGAACAGG